GACGGAGGGUGCUAGCGUUGUUCGGAAUUACUGGGCGUAAAGAGCGUGUAGGCGGCCAAGCAGGUCAGCUGUGAAAACUCGAGGCUCAACCUCGAGACGUCGGUUGAAACCGCUUGGCUAGAGUCCGGAAGAGGAGAGUGGAAUUCCCGGUGUAGCGGUGAAAUGCGCAGAUAUCGGGAAGAACACCCGUGGCGAAGGCGGCUCUCUGGGACGGUACUGACGCUGAGACGCGAAAGCGUGGGGAGCAAACAGG
Molecule: ribosomal RNA, 253 nt
Filed under: uncultured bacterium
Lineage: Bacteria
Description: partial 16S ribosomal RNA
Rfam family: Bacterial small subunit ribosomal RNA
Source: RNAcentral